GAUGAACGCUGGCGGCGUGCCUAACACAUGCAAGUCGAACGGAGAUUACGGACGGAAGUUUUCGGAUGGAAGCCUGUAAUUCUUAGUGGCGGACGGGUGAGUAACGCGUGGGCAACCUGCCCUAUACAGGGGGAUAGCAGCUGGAAACGGCUGGUAAGACCGCAUAAGUCGGUUAAAUCGCAUGAUUUGAUCGGGAAAUGAGCAAUCAGGUAUAGGAUGGGCCCGCGUCCGAUUAGCCAGUUGGCAGGGUAAAAGCCUACCAAAGCGACGAUCGGUAGCCGGACUGAGAGGUCGGGCGGCCACAUUGGGACUGAGACACGGCCCAAACUCCUACGGGAGGCAGCAGUGGGGGAUAUUGCACAAUGGAGGAAACUCUGAUGCAGCGACGCCGCAUGAGUGAAGAAGUAUUUCGGUAUGUAAAGCUCUAUCAGCAGGGAAGAUGAUGACGGUACCUGACGAAGAAGCCCCGGCUAACUACGUG
This 481-nucleotide ribosomal RNA is filed under the name uncultured bacterium. Its description in RNAcentral is "partial 16S ribosomal RNA". It matches the Rfam family "Bacterial small subunit ribosomal RNA", at positions 28 to 507 of the family's 1533-position model. The record is from RNAcentral.